GGAAUAUUGCACAAUGGGCGAAAGCCUGAUGCAGCGACGCCGCGUGAAGGAUGAAGUAUUUCGGUAUGUAAACUUCUAUCAGCAGGGAAGAAAAUGACGGUACCUGACUAAGAAGCCCCGGCUAACUACGUGCCAGCAGCCGCGGUAAUACGUAGGGGGCAAGCGUUAUCCGGAUUUACUGGGUGUAAAGGGAGCGUAGACGGCGAUGCAAGCCAGAUGUGAAAGCCCGGGGCUCAACCCCGGGACUGCAUUUGGAACUGUGUGGCUGGAGUGUCGGAGAGGCAAGUGGAAUUCCUAGUGUAGCGGUGAAAUGCGUAGAUAUUAGGAGGAACACCAGUGGCGAAGGCGGCUUGCUGGACGAUGACUGACGUUGAGGCUCGAAAGCGUGGGGAGCAAACA
This 399-nucleotide ribosomal RNA is filed under the name uncultured bacterium. RNAcentral describes it as "bacterial SSU rRNA". It matches the Rfam family "Bacterial small subunit ribosomal RNA", at positions 358 to 774 of the family's 1533-position model. The record is from RNAcentral.